CCACAUCAGAAGACAUUUUCUAUGAUCCGAAAAGGGCUUUGAUUAGCCUGGAGGUUUAGCAGAAGGAGGAGAGGCCAAUUUAAAGGCACAGAAAGGUCUGAAAGAAGUGAAGAAGAAACAUGAAGUUCAAGGUGGGAGAUGUCGAUGGACAUCCCCCAAAUGUUUGCUUCUUGGUUUUACGCUUCUUACCUUCCUUGCCCUGCCCUGACUUUUGGUUGACAACCGCAUGGUUGAUUUUAUGAAUUAGUAAAUGAAAUUAUGAGUGUCCUUCUUCCCCAUUUAUUUUCCAAAUUUAGUAGAAAACGCGUCAUCAGUGAAUGGUUGAAUGGUUGAUAUCAGAAGCCAAUAAUUUGUUCUUCAAGUUUGGCAUUUUCUAAAUUUAUGAUAUUUUUUAUGGUAUUAAUUAAAAGAUAUUUUUCAUGGUGAUAAUUAAAAGAUAUUUUUGGAAAGAUGACUUCCAAUUAUAUUCCUUUACAAAUUUGAAAAUAUUUUUUGAAUUAAUAUAUUACUAUAUUUAUUAAAUUCCCAUCAAAGAAGCCAUGUUGCUACAAUUUUUUUGGCUAUUCUAUCUAGCUACAAUUGAUACUAAUGGGACAAUCUUUUGAUGCCUUCCCAUGUUUCAAAGCUCAUAAAUCAUUCCCACUUUCAAUAUACGUUUGUGUGGAAUGUCAAACACCUUCUCUGUCUGUCUCAAAUUUUUCUUCAAGAUAUUGUAGCCAACAUUUAUCAAAACCCUCUUUCCAAAUCUGGAGCCCUUAUCUGCCAUCACCUCAGUCUCACCGAUCAAGUGCACUACACCCACUUGUGCCGCGCUAUCAAUUACUUCAAUAUCCUUCUUAACAUCCUGUUGAUGUCUUUUUUCAUCUAUUUGCUUUGAUUCUUCUCUCUCGUUCUCACCAUUAAUCAACCCAUCUUGCAGCUCUCCAGAAACUAUGUCUCCACUAUUGUGUGUUAAUGUCACGGUCAUCAUUAUCUCUCCUCUUAUGAACUCCUUCAAUCUUUCAACCAGCAAUCUCUCAAAAGGCUCUUCCUCAAAACGCACAUCGGUGUACCCAUACCUCACCACACAUCGGAACACAUAAAUAUCAUUUGGUUCUACCCUGCGGAAGAGGAAUCGUUCCUCCACUGGAACCUUGCUUAUGGGGAGAGACUUGAUUGAGACGAAAACAAGAACUGAAUGCAAUGCAGGCACAUUUUCCAUGUAAUGCUUGAAGAUGGGCGGGAUGCCAUGAACAAGCUCAGAGUAGAAGAUGGCCAAUCCUGGUAUUCUACUAAAGUUUGUGCUCACUACUAAUUCCUUCACCACCUCAGGAGAAAUCUUGUGAUCCAGAUCAUAAUAGUAUUUCCUCCGGUACACAUCAUUCCAAAUGUACAUUAUGGUCAUCAGAACUAAGGCAAAGGCCAAGGGUAGAUACCCUCCUUGAUCAAACUUGUAGAGGACUGAACUUAGAUACAGAAGCUCAAUGCUACCAAUGACCACAACAUAUGAGAUCACAAGUAGGAUAUGGGUUUUCCAUAUCAUGAUCAUCACAAGAACCAGAAAUAAUGAGGUGAGGGUCAUCACGAACACCACUGCAAUCCCUACACCAACAAAGACUUGCAAUCAUGAUCAUUUUGAAACAUCACUAAGCUCGAGAAAAGCUGAAAAAUGAAAAUAUGAAAGAAGAUGUGGGUAGAUUACCAUAUGCAUUUCCAAUCUUUGUGGUAGUCUUAAACCCUGCAGUGACCCCUACACAAGCCAGCAUGAGAAGGUAAUUGACCUCAGGAAUGUACACUUGCCCUUCAUACUUAGUCGAUGUAUGCAUAAUCUUCACUCGAGGAAAGCACCCUAGUGAGAGAGACUGCUGGAUAAUGGAGAAAGUCCCAGAUAUCAUAGCUUGACUGGCAAUGAUCGCCGCUGACACAGCCACAACAAACAUCGGCCAGUACAGACCAUCUGCACCAGAGAAACCCCACCUUAACCAAUAAAAAAACUAACAAGAAGACAGAAAACAAACUCUAAAGCCAGAAUGCUUACGUGGUAUGGACUUGAAGAAAAGGUCAGCAACAUCCUGAUGGUGUUUCCGGAGAAAAGAGGCUUGUCCAGUAUAUGCCAAUACAAGAGCUGGGUAUGUGACAGCGCACAUACUUAUUUGAAUUGAUCGAACUGUGAAGUGGCCAACAUCAGCAAACAGCGCCUCCGUCCCUGCAUUUUCCCGAAAACAAUCUGAGAAAUUUCUCAAGUUAAUGAUGGAGGAGAAUUGAUUAAUGAUCCACAUCCAAACCUGUUAUGGAGAGGACGGCCCCACCAAGGGAAAUCCAGGCUUGUUUCUUGUUCCUUCUGAAGUAAUCGAUGAUGUACUUGGGAUUAAUGGCUUUAACAACUGUUGGAUCAAACUUGAUGAAGUUGUAGACCCCAAUGCCGCUAAUUAACGCGAACCAAACACAGAUUAUUGGAGCAAAACUGUAUCCAACUUUGUCAGUUCCAAAUCUUUGAACCAUGAAAAGACAUACCAAGAUGCCUACUGACAUCCAAACAAUCCUAUCUGUGUCCAAGAAAAAAUUUAUUUGAGUUAGAAUCAUUAUUUAAAUAAAAUUAUAAGAAAUGUAAGAAAUAAAAUUUAUUUACUUUUUUCAACUGAGGAAAAAAAUAAAAAAUAAAAUAAUAAUAAAGAAAGAAUGGUUAAUAAUUUAUUGUAUAUAAUAAUAAUAAUAAUAAUAAUAAUAUGAUUACAUAUAACCAUUUUUUUUAAAAAAAAUUAUGAUGAUGGGAAAUUUUUAUUGUAUUUAAUAAUUUAAACUUUUACCUUUUCAUCAGUCAUGAUUAAGAGGACAAAUCAAAAUAUUAUUAAGAAUAAUUAUACGAGGAUGUUAUUGUAAGUUGAAAGGAUUAUUUUAAAUUUGUCAACAGUGCAAACCCAUUAUUUUAUUUAUUUUCUUUUUCCUUAAAGAGGGUAAAUAUUCCAAGUUAAUAAGCCAUUGGAUUCAACACUUUUUUCUACACUUUACUAGUCAAAAUUGGACAAUCUGAUUUUUUUAUCAAUUAAUUUGGUUCAAUUCAAUUUUUUUGUAAUUAAAAGGAAUAAAAUAAUUAUAGAUUUACAAAUCUUUAAAAAAAAAAAAAUGACCUACAAAAAUACCAUUCCAUUUUUUUUUGAAAAAAUAAUUUUUUUUAAAAAAAAUUAUAUAAAAAUUAUCCAAAUGUUAAAUAAAAAAAUUAUUUUAGUAGUUGAUUUUAAAAGUUGAGAAAGAUUACCUUGUGUCAUUGAAUCUGUGACUUCCUUGAUACCACCCACAGCAGAUAAAACUAUAACAUGCAAAGUCAAAUGUCAAAUAUAUAUACAAUAAAAGACUGAAGGACAAAACUCAUUUUCUUUGUCAACAAAAAUUAAUAAUAAAGAAGAAAGUUGAAUGCAUAUUCAACCAUAUACGUAUAUCUACUUAAAUUAGUCAUAAGUAAUUUUCAAUGAUAAUAAAAGAUAACUUUAGAAAAAGCUAAGCACAAGAUGUUUUUUGGCAACAAAAAUUUGUAAAAGGAAAAGACAUUUAUUAUGGAAGAAAAAAACCUUUUAAUCUCAAAUUAACUAAAAAAGGAUGAUGUAAAUUAUGUUUGUUUUUUAUUUUCAGAGUAAGAAAAGCAUUUCCAAAAAAUGGUAGUGUGAUGUGGUUUUUAUUUUCCAAAGUAAGAAAAGUAUUUCCAAAAAAAAUGAUAUUGUGACAUGGUUUUUAUAUGAUUUUUACUUUCCAAAGUAAGAAAAGUAUUUCCAAAAAAUGGUAGUGUGAUAUGGUUUUUACUUUCUAAAGUAAGAAAAGUAUUUUCAAAAAAUAUAUGUGAAAACAAAGAUGAAAGGGAAAAAAAAAAUCCCUUUUAAUAAAUGCAUAAGGAAAAAUAAAGGUGUAUGACAUUAUGUCAUUAAAUUUGUAUGUAAAUGGAAAGAAGGAUAAAAACUAAGCUAACCUGAGAUGCAAGGAGUGAGGACACCAUCACCAAUCACCAUGGAAGUGCCAAGCAUUGUGGCAAACAAUAGAAAGAACUUUGCAGAGUUGCUCUUCUCUAGCUUGGACUUAAGCUUUGAUGCCAUCUGCAGUCUUUUACUAGGCAGCUCCAACCGGAAAUUGGAGACUUCUCUGUCCUCAGCUUGUUGACUAGGGAUCAACCCCACCUUGGCAUAUCGGCAUAUAAGAGAAUACAAAGCAAAUGUCCCUCCUGAAAAUUAUCCAUGGUGUUUAAAAGAAGUGUAUUCUAGGCUUAAUGAGCUAUUUUCCUCUUUUUUUGAGUUAUAAUGUGAACCACAUAUUUAGAGUUGAAAAGGCGGCAAGGAUUUAAAAAAAAAAAAGAUUCAUUGGAUUGAGUGCACAAUUGUUGAUCAUUAAUUGAUCAACCAGAUACGAGGGACCCCAGUAGGAGCCUGCAUGGUUAUUUUCAAGGGCAAGUAUCACAGUUUGAUACAUCAAAGUUGGCCUUCAAUGGUGUUUUUCACUCAUCUCAUCUAUGAUCAAGACUAGAAAAAAAUGGCAAAAAUAAAAAUAAAAAUCAAGAAAUUAAUAAACCAUUUUGCCUUGUUGGUAUGGAAAAGUCUUAAUAUGUGGCAUAUUUCUAAAAAGAAAAGAUGAUGGGUUCAUGCCAUAAAAGAAAAGAUAGAAAAAGAAGAUCACAGUACGAUACAUAUAAAUUAAAAUCAAAGGUCGUUAAUGAUCAUGAGCUCUCACCAUCGCCAUUAUCAGUGGCCUUCAACACAGUCAAGACGUACUUGAAGAGAGGGAUGAGGGUGAGGGUGUAGAAGAUGAUAGAAAGAACCCCCAGAAUGUCAUCAUUAUGUUUGACACCAUCAGUGAAAGUGCUUGCAUACACGUACAACGGCGAAGUUCCAAUGUCCCCAUACACUAUUCCAAGGCUCUGAAACGCCAGGUGCAGUAUCACAGACCAGUCCUUCGUAUCCUUCAAAACAGAAAUUCAAAAAAAAAAAAAAAAAAAAUCAAAUCUUCUUUCUCCCAGUUGCCAUGCAUAAUAACGAGAAAAUGAUAUCAGGAAAGGGUGGGGGGUACAGACCUUGGAGCCAUGGUGGCUGCGACCAUGUACAGUCCCGGACUCCAUGUCUAGGGAGUCCAUACGACGCAGUUUUCCCCAUGAGAGUUUCUUUGAUUUGAGGCCUUGAUCAUGGGUGUCGUCCGGGCUGUUUACCACAUCAGAAGACAUUUUCUAUGAUCUGAAAAGGGCUUUGAUUAGACCGGAGCGUUUGCAGAAGGUGCAGAGGCCAAUUUAAAGGCACAGAAAGGUCUGAAAACCGCGUGGUUUGAUUUUAUGAAUAAUGAAUGAGUAAACGAGAUUCCGAGAGUGUUUUUUUACCAUUUAUUUUUCAGAUUUAUUGGAAAACGCGUUAUCAGUAAAUAAACUUCCCCCAUAUUAGUCGGAUGGUUGAUAUCAGACCUCUUCUUGCCUUUUCUAAAUUUAUGAUAUUAAUUAAUAUUUACUUUUUGAAGAUACGACUUCUUAUUAUAUUCCUUUACAAAUUUGAAAAUAUUUUUUGAAUUAGUAUAUUACUAAAAAUAUUUUUUAAUUAAUAUAUAUACUUAUAUAUAUUUUUUAAAUCCUCAUGCCUACAAUAAAAAUGAUAUAUCUUCAUGUUUAAAAACCUUUUUCUAUUCUUACGUUUUAAGUGCAAAAACAAUUUUAAUAUUUUUAAUAUUUAAAUAUAAAAAAAUUCAAAUGUUAAAAAGAUUAAAAAAAAACGUUUUUUAAAAUCACUAUGAUUCUAUUUUUUUUUUUACUUUGUUUUCCAUUUUAAAAAUAAAAAUAAACAUUACAAUAAUUCUUUUUUUAAUAAUUAAGUUGAGAAAAAUAUUACAUUUAUAAUUUCUUUCAUCAUUAUUUUUUUUCUAUCAUCACAUUCAUUUAAUUAAUAAAAUUAGAUUUAAUUAAAUUAAAAAAUAAUAAUGAUUUUAAAAAAUAUUUUAAAUCUUUUGUAGUUGGCUAUAUUUAACUGCACAUUAAUAGAUACCCAAAAUUUAUUAUUUAAAAAAAGGUAAUAAAUUAGAGACAACGACAGCGCAACCCUACUCUUGGCUGUGGAAAGGACCAUGUACUCACGUGAUAGAAAGUUGAGAGGUGUCCAACAAAAGACGCGAGUGAAUUGUCCACAUGCAUGGGGGCGAGUAGAACUUUCCAAUGGGGUGAAAAUUCUAAAGCAUCACGUUCAGAUCGGUCAUAGCCACGUGUUACACGCAUUCUUUCUGCAUCAUCACAUAUCACAGGAAGCCUAUCACAGGUUGACCCUAAGACGGAUUGGGUAUAUUCAUGGGCCUUGUUUGGAAAAUAUAAUAUCAAAAAAAUCACAGCAAUCUGAGUUUAAAAAAUAUAAAUUUAAGUAGCUUUUUAAAAAUAAUUAGGAUCUUAACAUUUUAUACACUUUGGUGUACAACCUUUAUCUUUAAUAAUUCAGAUACUACUUUUUAAUGGGAUAAGUUUUAUCUAUUAUAAUUUUAAGUAUCAUCUAUUUUAUGAUUAAAAAAAAGUUAAAUGAACACAAUAGAUAAAGUGAUAAAAAAAAAAAGGACCAUGAAAUGAAACUUCUCCAUAUAAGAAGAUGCAUAAAAAAUAAUAAUUAAAAAGAUAAAAUUAUUGAUCUCUCUCCUCCCCUUCCUAAAAGAGGAAAUUGAUUAUUGUUCUUUUACAUUAUAAAGAUAGAAUUCUUGUCAGAUUUAUGAACAAAUAUAAUAUCUAAUUUUUUUUUCAUAAUGGAAAAGGCGCUCUCUCUCUCAUCCAAAGAAGAGAACAUUGACUAUUGCUCCUUUACAUUCAUAACGAUAGAAUUCUUUAGAAUUCAUUAACUAAUAUAAUGUCUAAUUCUUUUCCAAAAUGGAAAUGGUGGAUUGAAACGUUACCCUACCAAUGCCAAAACUAUCAAAUAAAAUAUGCCUCUUUUUCUCUCUUUCUCAUCCCCUUACUAGAAAAGGAAACUAGUUAUUGCUCUUUUGCAUUAUGGAGAUAAAAUUCUUAUCAAAUUCAUGAACUAACAUAAUGUCUAAUUCCUUUCUGUAAUGAAAAAGGCGCUCUCUCUCUUUCAUCCAAAGAAAAGAACAUUGGUUAUUACUCCUUUACAUUCAUAGAGAUAGAAUUCUUCAGAAUUCAUUAACUAAUAUAAUGUCUAAUUCUUUUCCAAAAUGGAAAUGGUGAAUUGAAACGUUACCUUGCCAAUGCCAAAACCGUCAAAUAAAAUACGCCUCUUUUUCUCUCUUUCUCAUCCCCUUGCUAGAAGAGGAAAUUGGUUAUUGCUCUUUUAUAUCAUAGAGAUAGAAUUCGUGUUGGAUUCAUAAACUAACAUAAUGUCUAAUUCCUUUCAAUAAUACGUGUCAACAGGGGAAUAUCAUGGACGAAUGAUAAAUGUGCACGUUUAUGUGUUUUUGUUUGAUGUCAGAAACUUAUUAGUCAUCUAAUACAAAGAAGAAAUGGUCACAACCUAAUGCAAUCUACGUGCCAAACCUAGAAACCUGGAAAUUGUAAACGUACAAACCUUGAAAUUCAGAACUUCCCAGAUUAUUAGGAAAAUAAAUUACUGGCAAACCUGUAUUGAAGGGACUUCUUGAAUGCUAUCCUCACUGUCAACCAAACUUUAUCGCUGAUAUCUGUUUCAUGUCACAACCAGCUACACCAAAAUGAAAGUGACUUCUUCAUUAGCACUGCAUUCCAUCACAAUAAAAAUUACAGCGUCCUCAAGAUUUUCUUUGACAAUUUACACAAUCUGCACCAUGCUGAGGGGAAGAAUGGUGCAUACAGUGGACAAAAACCUAUUGCCAAAAUUUUUGUGACUUCAUAAUCUUUUCCAUCCCUUGUUUGCUGGACCAGAAAAAUAUAAGUGUUUGCAUAUACGAUCUCUUAAUCAUAGCUUCCAGUUCCAUUCAAAGUUCAAUUGUUGCAAAAUGACCUUACUUGGUUUUGGCAUUUCUUUGGAGCCUGUCAAAAAUUGGAUUUUCUACCAGUUCUUUAGCUGAAGGCCGCCAAACUGGAUUUGGAUCCAGCAUUGCCUGGUAGGAUUAUAUAGGUGCUCUACAAAUGAAAUGAGUAUUUAUCUGGCACAUUAGGUCUUUGCCAUAAAAGAAAUUAGAACAGACAAUUGAUUUUGGGCCUUUGGUUUUGUUCUGCUACUUUCGGUAGCAGUUGUCCAAAAUCAUCCUCUUACUUCGACUCUCAGCAUACUCUCUUCUAUGGGUCGCUCCAGUAUAUAUUAGGUCUUUGUCAUAAAACAAAAUUAGCUUGGUCGGUUGGUUUUAGGCUUUUGUCUUUGUUUUCCUACUUUAGGCAGUGGUUGUCCAACAUCAUCCUCUUGACUCUUGGCAUACUCUCUUCUAUGGGUCAUUCUUCUAAUCUGUUCUCUACAUGUACCAUAUGUUACACCAUGUCUAAGGAGUCCAUACGACGUAGUUCUCCCCAUGAGAGUUUCUUUGAUUUGAGGCCUUGAUCAUGGGUCUCGUCAGGGCUGUUUACCACAUCAGAAGACAUUUUCUAUGAUCCGAAAAGGGCUUUGAUUAGCCUGGAGGGUUAGCAGAAGGAGGAAAGGUCGAUUUAAAGGCACAGAAAGGUCUGAAAGAAGUGCAGAAGAAACGUGAAGUUCAGGGUGGGAGAUGUCGAUGGACAUCUCCCAAAUGUUUGCUUCUUGGUUUUAUGCUUCUUACCUUCUAUGCCCUGCCAUGACUUUUGGUUGACAACCGCGUGGUUGAUUUUAUGAAUUAGUAAAUGAAAUUAUGAGUGUCCUUCCCCAUUUAUUUUCCAAAUUUGUGAAUGGUUGAUAUCAGAAACCAAUAAUUUGUUCUUCAAGUUUUGAAUUUUCUAAAUUUAUAAUAUUUUUUAUGGUAUUAAUUAAAAGAUAUUUUUGGAAAUAUAACUUCCAAUU
This 8867-nucleotide long non-coding RNA is filed under the name Vitis vinifera (wine grape). RNAcentral's name for it is "long non-coding RNA (VVIN_LNC002045)". Lineage: Eukaryota; Viridiplantae; Streptophyta; Magnoliopsida; Vitales; Vitaceae. The record is from RNAcentral.